CGAGCCCUGGAGCAUCUCCACAGUAAACUGUCAGUGAUUCACAGAGAUGUGAAGCCGUCCAACGUCUUGAUCAACAAACAGGGACAUGUGAAAAUGUGUGAUUUUGGAAUCAGCGGGUACUUGGUGGAUUCGGUGGCUAAAACGUUGGAUGCCGGCUGCAAACCUUACAUGGCUCCAGAAAGAAUUAAUCCGGAGCUAAACCAGAAGGGGUAUAAUGUCAAAUCAGACGUUUGGAGUCUUGGGAUC
This is a long non-coding RNA of Protobothrops mucrosquamatus (brown spotted pit viper), 246 nucleotides long. RefSeq lists it as uncharacterized. The record is from RefSeq and is a predicted model, not a curated record. Lineage: Eukaryota; Metazoa; Chordata; Lepidosauria; Squamata; Viperidae. The transcript is spliced from 3 exons.